RNAcentral lists this unclassified non-coding RNA (241 nucleotides) under uncultured fungus. RNAcentral's name for it is "sequence contains ITS2". The stretch from base 1 to 52 matches the Rfam family "5.8S ribosomal RNA", at positions 103 to 154 of the family's 154-position model. The record is from RNAcentral. Lineage: Eukaryota; Fungi.
AACGCACAUUGCGCCCCUUGGUAUUCCGAGGGGCAUGCCUGUUCGAGCGUCAUUACAACCCUCAAGCAUUGCUUGGUAUUGGGCUCCGCUGUUCACUCAGCGUGCCUUAAAACUAGUGGCGGUGCCGUCGGGCUCUGAGCGUAGUAAAUAUCCUCGCUACAGGGACCUGGUGGACGCUAGCCAUUAACCCCCAUCUUCUCAGUUUGACCUCGGAUCAGGUAGGGAUACCCGCUGAACUUAA